CUACGGGUCGCUCCAGUGAGGAAUAUUGCACAAUGGGGGGAACCCUGAUGCAGCAACGCCGCGUGGAGGAUGACGCAUUUCGGUGUGUAAACUCCUUUUAUAUGUCAAGAAAAUGACGGUAGCAUAUGAAUAAGCACCGGCUAACUCCGUGCCAGCAGCCGCGGUAAUACGGAGGGUGCAAGCGUUACUCGGAAUCACUGGGCGUAAAGGACGCGUAGGCGGGUUGGAAAGUCAGGUGUGAAAUCCUACAGCUUAACUGUAGAACUGCACUUGAAACUUCUAAUCUAGAGUAUGGGAGGGGGAGAUGGAAUUAGUGGUGUAGGGGAAAAAUCCGUAGAUAUCACUAGGAAUACCUAAAGCGAAGGCGAUCUCCUGGAACAUUAUUGACGCUGAGACGCGAAAGCGUGGGGAGCAAACAGGAUUAGAUACCCCAGUAGUC
RNAcentral lists this ribosomal RNA (439 nucleotides) under uncultured bacterium. RNAcentral describes it as "partial 16S ribosomal RNA". It matches the Rfam family "Bacterial small subunit ribosomal RNA", at positions 339 to 795 of the family's 1533-position model. The record is from RNAcentral.